UCCCCAUCUUCCUUAAAAAUCUCCAACCAAAAUCCAUUCUUCUCCUUAUAACUUCUUCCACAACGCAGCUUUCUUUUUGUAGCUGCAGUUAUUUUCAUCUCCUCCACCAAAAAGCAUUGAGAGGAGAAAACCGAGAGAGCUGUGGAAUUAAUUUUUCUUGUUAUCCUCUUCUUCUCAAAGUUGAGAGGAAACCGUGACUCUUUUAGUACCUCCUGCUUGUGCAAAAUUUUCUUUCAACCAAAGGGUGAGCUUGUGUACGUUGUUGGCGGUUGGAAUAAGAGGUGAUUGAGGAGUAAGCUUGUGAGAUUGAGCGACGACGGGCGUGGAGGAUGUUGAGCAGAAUUCAUGGAUUAAUUAUGUUUAGCUUAAUAUUGUGGGAUAUGUCGUGUCUUCAUACUCGGCAUUUUCCGUGUCUUGAACGCUUCCGCUAAGUGUCUUUUCUUUAGAAUUGUUUUAGUAUUGAGAACCUAACUCUUUUCAAAAUUGGUUACUUUCUAGUCUUUAUGUCUUUAGGGUUGGUACCUUGUUGAAAUGAUACUACGUUGUUUUUUCUAUGUUAUUUCAGUUAUUAAAAUG
Non-coding RNA from Salvia hispanica, 576 nucleotides. The record is from RefSeq and is a predicted model, not a curated record. Lineage: Eukaryota; Viridiplantae; Streptophyta; Magnoliopsida; Lamiales; Lamiaceae.